CCAAUAGCGUAUAUUAAAGUUGUUGCAGUUAAAAAGCUCGUAGUUGAAUUUCGGGAUCAAUAUGUCGGUCGUGCCUCGGUACGUACUGGCGUCAUUGGUUUCUCCCCUCUGAAGAACCGCGAUGUCAUUAAUUUGGUGUCGUGGGGAAUCAGGACUGUUACUUUGAAAAAAUUAGAGUGUUUAAAGCAGGCUCGCGCUUGAAUACAUUAGCAUGGAAUAAUGAAAUAGGACGUUUGAUUCUAUUUUGUUGGUUUCUAGGAUCGACGUAAUGAUUAAUAGGGAUAGUUGGGGGCAUUAGUAUUCAAUUGUCAGAGGUGAAAUUCUUGGAUUUAUUGAAGACUAACUACUGCGAAAGCAUUUGCCAAGGAUGUUUUCAUUAAUCAAGAACGAAAGUUAGGGGAUCGAAGACGAUCAGAUACCGUCGUAGUCUUAACCAUAAACUAUGCCGACUAGGGAUCGGAUGAUGUUGAUUUUUUAAUGACUCAUUCGGCGCCUUAC
This 498-nucleotide ribosomal RNA is filed under the name uncultured Glomeromycotina. RNAcentral's name for it is "partial small subunit ribosomal RNA". It matches the Rfam family "Eukaryotic small subunit ribosomal RNA", at positions 591 to 1091 of the family's 1831-position model. The record is from RNAcentral. Lineage: Eukaryota; Fungi; Glomeromycota.